Xenopus laevis (African clawed frog) is the source of this 1205-nucleotide long non-coding RNA. RefSeq lists it as uncharacterized. NCBI's taxonomy places the organism in Eukaryota, Metazoa, Chordata, Amphibia, Anura, Pipidae. The record is from RefSeq and is a predicted model, not a curated record. The transcript is spliced from 3 exons.
UUGUAAAUGUACAGUGUUUGUAAUGCCCGGCCCAUUUUAAAAGUAAGUGGAGCGGCCCUUCUGGCAAAUGCCUGAGCCGACAGAAGCCAGACCGCGAUGAAUGGGCUGGAAACCCUAGAGUGUUCUCUUCAGUUGGAGAAGAAUGUCAAUCCGUCUCUUCUGGAGCUGCAAAUAAUGAGGAGAAUGUAGGAAGCGGAGCUCACCAGUUCAGCGCCUUCGAAGCACGUCUCCCCUCCAGCGGCAUCCGGUGAAAACUCCACAGGCGCAUAAACUCCCGACUCUACACAGGACAGGAUUCAACAUAGUUCAACACUGCAGGCGCUCAGCCGAAAAAAAGUAGGAGGCGUAUGUUGCUUCAUCCAAUGUGGCUUUAUUAAAGCAAACAGCGUGACAUACAGUGGCAUGCAAUAGUGCAGAUCAGCCUACGCGUUUCGUGCCAAGAGCUACUGGCACUUCAUCAGAGCUGCACAGGCUUUCUACUGAGCACAAUGAUCCCCAUGUAAUUGUUGGUUACACAUCUAAGUACAGCUCUGUAUUCAUACAAAAUUUGUGCGACUUUCUGGAUAGCCAUUACCUUGUGAAUCUAUGUGAACAAGUGAAAUCUAUGAAGGAGCUUUGAGACCAUAUUACCAACCUGCGCCGGAUGGGUGCUCCCAGUAAUGGAAUAGCAGACAAACACAUUAGGGGAAAGCCACGAGUGACCCUCUUCCUUUUUCUUCUUUCCUUUAUGUUGCUGCUCCUCCUGUAGUUUAAUAAUAUCUGUUAUUUGGUUUCUUUGCUUUUUUUGACACCAAAGUAAUUCAAGAAAAAAAGUGUUUUCCUGUUUAUUGCCAAAUGCAAGUGAAAUAGCUAAAGUGAAUAUAAAUAGGGCAGUCCUAAGGUGGUACUAGGUAGUAAGGCACGCUCGCACAACUUAAACCGUCCCACUAAUACGAGAAGCUCAGUGAUAGAGGAAUUGGUGUCCUCAAAAGCCAGGAUAAAGCCAGAAGUUGGCAAAUUAAAAAAAUGUAUAAAAAAAAGAAAACAUGAAGACCAGUUGAAAAGUUGCCAAUAGGUCAAUCUAUCACAUACUAAAAUUUAGUAUUAGUUCUGUGCCAGUAAUAGAUUUUUAAUUACAUUCCAUAUAUGUUCUGUCAAACACUCCCUGCCUAAAGCAGUUGUUAUUUGACACCCCAUUAUUGCAAUUUAUUAAACAUUGGCACCUU